CAGCACCUCAAGUGGUCAGGAUGAUUAUUGGGCCUAAAGCAUCCGUAGCCGGCUCUGUAAGUUUUCGGUUAAAUCUGUACGCUUAACGUACAGGCUGCCGGGAAUACUGCAGAGCUAGGGAGUGGGAGAGGUAGACGGUACUCGGUAGGAAGUGGUAAAAUGCUUUGAUCUAUCGAUGACCACCUGUGGCGAAGGCGGUCUACCAGAACACGUCCGACGGUGAGGGAUGAAAGCUGGGGGAGCAAACCGGAUUAGAUACCCGGGUAGUCCCAGCUGUAAACUAUGCAAACUCAGUGAUGCAUUGGCUUGUGGCCAAUGCAGUGCUGCAGGGAAGCCGUUAAGUUUGCCGCCUGGGAAGUACGUACGCAAGUAUGAAACUUAAAGGAAUUGGCGGGGGAGCACCACAAGGGGUGAAGCCUGCGGUUCAAUUGGAGUCAACGCCAGAAAUCUUACCCGGAGAGACAGCAGAAUGAAGGUCAAGCUGAAGACUUUACCAGACAAGCUGAGAGGUGGUGCAUGGCCGUCGCCAGCUCGUGCCGUGAGAUGUCCUGUUAAGUCAGGUAACGAGCGAGAUCCCUGCCUCUAGUUGCCACCAUUACUCUCAGGAGUAGUGGGGCGAAUUAGCGGGACCGCCGCAGUUAAUGCGGAGGAAGGAAGGGGCCACGGCAGGUCAGUAUGCCCCGAAACUCUGGGGCCACACGCGGGCUGCAAUGGUAGCGACAAUUGGUUUCGAAUCCGAAAGGAUGAGGUAAUCCACAAACGCUACCACAGUUAUGACUGAGGGCUGCAACUCGCCCUCACGAAUAUGGAAUCCCUAGUAACUGCGUGUCAUUAUCGCGCGGUGAAUACGUCCCUGCUCCUU
Molecule: ribosomal RNA, 862 nt
Filed under: uncultured marine crenarchaeote
Lineage: Archaea; Thermoproteati; Thermoproteota
Description: bacterial SSU rRNA
Rfam family: Archaeal small subunit ribosomal RNA
Source: RNAcentral